GCAGUAGCAACUGGAUUUGCAGCAGAAACACUCUGCUACAGAACAAGUGUCUUGGUUCACAGCAAAGAGGACAAAGAAAACAGCAAGUUUUAGGGGGUUGAAUCCUGGAUUAUGCCACUGUUGCUGGAGAAAUGUCACUGCUAGAGAAUGGAAGACUAUUAUUCCAAAGGGUAUUUGAGACUGACUGAAUCAGGUCUGGAACAUUAUUGAAAUGGGAUUUUCUUAUUGCUGCUGUUCUUGAAUACCUUAUUGUUCAGUGCUCCUCUGUGAUGCUGUUAAAGCAGAUUCCUGGGCACCAUUCCUAAAGACUCCGAUUGGACUGAAUGCAAGAGCCAUUCUCACUGGGAUGCCACAGCUCUGGAGACUUCUCAUAGAUGGUGUUUGGAACACUCCAGGCUUGCAGAUGGGCCUUUAG
This 415-nucleotide long non-coding RNA is filed under the name Rhinopithecus bieti (black snub-nosed monkey). Its description in RNAcentral is "lncRNA (ENSRBIG00000046612.1)". The record is from RNAcentral. Lineage: Eukaryota; Metazoa; Chordata; Mammalia; Primates; Cercopithecidae.